AAGGGUAUAGCUCAGUGGUAGACUGCAUGCUUAGCAUGCACAAGGUCCUGGGUUCAAUCCCCAGUACCUCCA
Molecule: transfer RNA, 72 nt
Filed under: Camelus bactrianus (Bactrian camel)
Lineage: Eukaryota; Metazoa; Chordata; Mammalia; Artiodactyla; Camelidae
Also listed under: 1 other name
Rfam family: tRNA
About the family: Transfer RNA (tRNA) molecules are approximately 80 nucleotides in length.
Source: Rfam by way of RNAcentral